RNAcentral lists this ribosomal RNA (253 nucleotides) under uncultured bacterium. RNAcentral's name for it is "partial 16S ribosomal RNA". It matches the Rfam family "Bacterial small subunit ribosomal RNA", at positions 524 to 776 of the family's 1533-position model. The record is from RNAcentral.
UACGUAGGGCGCAAGCGUUGUCCGGAAUUAUUGGGCGUAAAGAGCUCGUAGGCGGUUUGUCACGUCGUCUGUGAAAUCCCUCGGCUUAACCGGGGGCGUGCAGGCGAUACGGGCAGACUUGAGUACUACAGGGGAGACUGGAAUUCCUGGUGUAGCGGUGAAAUGCGCAGAUAUCAGGAGGAACACCGGUGGCGAAGGCGGGUCUCUGGGUAGUAACUGACGCUGAGGAGCGAAAGCAUGGGUAGCGAACAGG